GCAGCUGCAGAUCUGCAGAGCAAGGGGAGAAUGAUAAGGGACGGGCCUGCCUUUUCUGAGCUCUCUAAUGUCAGUGCUGCCUCCCUUCUGCAUGGCCGUUCACAGCUAACAAAGCCUUUUACAGACAUUGUCAUCUCUCGAGUAUCCACCCUGGAGGGUAAGGACCCCAUAUGAGAGUGAGGCUCUCUGCACACUCCAGAUCAAGGACUUGACCAAUCUGGUGGACCGUACAUGUUGGGAGGAGGGUAAGAGUGUGGUAAAGAGGAUCUGAAGGGAGAGGAAUUGGCUCUUUGCUCUCAGUGUUGAGCUGAAAUCCAAAGAGAGGGCAAAGAAUCCUGCCAUCCCAGAACUAUUUCCUCCCACCAUCUCCUGCCGUCAUUUACUUAACAGAGACAAUAGUCUGGUCUCUUUCUUCCUUUUAACUGAGAAAUGGGUCAAAGGCAGCACAGGCGGAUAAUAUGGUCUAGACCAUUUGCAAGUAGGGCACAUCUCUCUUUCAUUAUUAAAAAUUGCAUGUAUUCAUAAAGAAGGCUGAGUGGGAGAGGGUGAACCCCUCUCCUUCCCCUUCAUACCCAGACCCUGCCUCCCAGCAAGCCGCGUGUUCACUCUGACAAAGAUUCGUAACAUUCAGACCAAGGGAAGUGGGACUCUUCCUCUGCAACAGCUAGAAACCCCACACCCUGUUCAGAGGAGAAUGCCCGGGGCCUGCAUGCGGGAGGAGGAGCCACAUGGUGAGAUUCUGCCUCCCUGCAUCGGGUCAGAACAAGCCCCAGGAAGAAAGUAUUCCAAACAAGGUAGAUCUGCCCUCACCCACCCAGUCUGCAUGUUGGUGCUGAGGACAGCCUUUUAUGGGGCUUACACUGAGCCACGGACGUGUCUGAACACAACAAGGAAGAGGCCAAAGCAGCAACUACACAGCAACCAGAAGUAGUUGCACUAUAUCCAGCCAGAUUUGGAAACAGAUGUGGGGUCACUGGAGGCUGGCCUUCCCAGACAAAUCUAUAGGAGUGAGAACAAGAUUUCAGUGGAGUGAAGUUCAGGAGGCAUGGAGCUGACAUCAAAGCCACCACCGCCGCCACAGCAGCAAGAGUCACUGUGAUUUAGAAACAGAAAUACCCAGUGAGAAAUGAGAUCGAUGCAGGUGACAUCUGGAGCGCACCUUCUGCAGAGGGGACGGGCAGAUUG
Molecule: RNA transcript, 1185 nt
Organism: Galeopterus variegatus (Sunda flying lemur)
Lineage: Eukaryota; Metazoa; Chordata; Mammalia; Dermoptera; Cynocephalidae
Gene: MIR205HG
Gene name: MIR205 host gene (non-protein coding)
Exons: 3
Source: RefSeq, a predicted model, not a curated record